UACGAAGGGGGCUAGCGUUGUUCGGAAUUACUGGGCGUAAAGCGCACGUAGGCGGACUAUUAAGACAGGGGUGAAAUCCCGGGGCUCAACCCCGGAACUGCCUUUGAUACUGCUAGUCUCGAGUCCGGAAGAGGUGAGUGGAAUUCCGAGUGUAGAGGUGAAAUUCGUAGAUAUUCGGAGGAACACCAGUGGCGAAGGCGGCUCACUGGUCCGGUACUGACGCUGAGGUGCGAAAGCGUGGGGAGCAAACAGG
This 253-nucleotide ribosomal RNA is filed under the name uncultured bacterium. RNAcentral's name for it is "partial 16S ribosomal RNA". It matches the Rfam family "Bacterial small subunit ribosomal RNA", at positions 524 to 776 of the family's 1533-position model. The record is from RNAcentral.